UACGUAGGGUGCGAGCGUUGUCCGGAAUUAUUGGGCGUAAAGAGCUCGUAGGCGGUCUGUCGCGUCGGUCGUGAAAACUUGGGGCUUAACCCUGAGCUUGCGGUCGAUACGGGCAUGACUGGAGUUCGGCAGGGGAGACUGGAAUUCCUGGUGUAGCGGUGAAAUGCGCAGAUAUCAGGAGGAACACCGGUGGCGAAGGCGGGUCUCUGGGAAUGUACUGACGCUGAGGAGCGAAAGUGUGGGGAGCGAACAGG
RNAcentral lists this ribosomal RNA (254 nucleotides) under uncultured bacterium. RNAcentral describes it as "partial 16S ribosomal RNA". It matches the Rfam family "Bacterial small subunit ribosomal RNA", at positions 524 to 776 of the family's 1533-position model. The record is from RNAcentral.